RNAcentral lists this ribosomal RNA (430 nucleotides) under Salmonella enterica. Its description in RNAcentral is "bacterial SSU rRNA". It matches the Rfam family "Bacterial small subunit ribosomal RNA", at positions 269 to 691 of the family's 1533-position model. The record is from RNAcentral. Lineage: Bacteria; Pseudomonadati; Pseudomonadota; Gammaproteobacteria; Enterobacterales; Enterobacteriaceae.
CAAGGCGACGAUCCCUAGCUGGUCUGAGAGGAUGACCAGCCACACUGGAACUGAGACACGGUCCAGACUCCUACGGGAGGCAGCAGUGGGGAAUAUUGCACAAUGGGCGCAAGCCUGAUGCAGCCAUGCCGCGUGUAUGAAGAAGGCCUUCGGGUUGUAAAGUACUUUCAGCGGGGAGGAAGGUGUUGUGGUUAAUAACCGCAGCAAUUGACGUUACCCGCAGAAGAAGCACCGGCUAACUCCGUGCCAGCAGCCGCGGUAAUACGGAGGGUGCAAGCGUUAAUCGGAAUUACUGGGCGUAAAGCGCACGCAGGCGGUCUGUCAAGUCGGAUGUGAAAUCCCCGGGCUCAACCUGGGAACUGCAUUCGAAACUGGCAGGCUUGAGUCUUGUAGAGGGGGGUAGAAUUCCAGGUGUAGCGGUGAAAUGCGU